Molecule: ribosomal RNA, 253 nt
Filed under: uncultured bacterium
Lineage: Bacteria
Description: partial 16S ribosomal RNA
Rfam family: Bacterial small subunit ribosomal RNA
Source: RNAcentral
UACGUAGGGUGCGAGCGUUGUCCGGAAUCAUUGGGCGUAAAGAGCGUGUAGGCGGUCCGUUAAGUCGGCUGUGAAAGUCCAAGGCUCAACCUUGGGAUGCCGGUCGAUACUGCCGGACUAGAGUUCGGAAGAGGCGAGUGGAAUUCCCGGUGUAGCGGUGAAAUGCGCAGAUAUCGGGAGGAACACCUAUGGCGAAGGCAGCUCGCUGGGACGUUACUGACGCUGAGACGCGAAAGCGUGGGGAGCAAACAGG